This 430-nucleotide ribosomal RNA is filed under the name Pseudomonadota bacterium. Its description in RNAcentral is "Proteobacteria bacterium partial 16S ribosomal RNA". It matches the Rfam family "Bacterial small subunit ribosomal RNA", at positions 355 to 776 of the family's 1533-position model. The record is from RNAcentral. Lineage: Bacteria; Pseudomonadati; Pseudomonadota.
UGGGGAAUAUUGGACAAUGGGGGGAACCCUGAUCCAGCCAUGCCGCGUGUGUGAAGAAGGCCUUAUGGUUGUAAAGCACUUUAAGCGAGGAGGAGGGUACUGGUAUUAAUACUACCAGGUACUGGACGUUACUCGCAGAAUAAGCACCGGCUAACUCUGUGCCAGCAGCCGCGGUAAUACAGAGGGUGCGAGCGUUAAUCGGAUUUACUGGGCGUAAAGCGUGCGUAGGCGGCUAAUUGAGUCGGAUGUGAAAUCCCCGAGCUUAACUUGGGAAUUGCAUUCGAUACUGGUUAGCUAGAGUGUGGGAGAGGAUGGUAGAAUUCCAGGUGUAGCGGUGAAAUGCGUAGAGAUCUGGAAGAAUACCGAUGGCGAAGGCAGCCAUCUGGCCUAACACUGACGCUGAGGUACGAAAGCAUGGAGAGCAAACAGG